UACAGAGGUCUCAAGCGUUGUUCGGAUUCAUUGGGCGUGAAGGGUGCGUAGGCGGCGCGGUAAGUCGGGUGUGAAAUCUCGGAGCUUAACUCCGAAACUGCAUUCGAUACUGCCGUGCUUGAGGACUGGAGAGGAGACUGGAAUUUACGGUGUAGCAGUGAAAUGCGUAGAGAUCGUAAGGAAGACCAGUGGCGAAGGCGGGUCUCUGGACAGUUCCUGACACUGAGGCACGAAGGCCAGGGGAGCAAACGGG
This 253-nucleotide ribosomal RNA is filed under the name uncultured bacterium. RNAcentral's name for it is "partial 16S ribosomal RNA". It matches the Rfam family "Bacterial small subunit ribosomal RNA", at positions 524 to 776 of the family's 1533-position model. The record is from RNAcentral.